AAUGUAACUACUGGAUCAUAUGGUAAUUCUAUUAAUUUUGUGAGUGAAUGUCACAUUGUUUUCCACAGAGUAUGUACCAUAUUACAUUCCCACCAGUAGU
This 100-nucleotide microRNA precursor is filed under the name Marmota monax (woodchuck). The record is from RNAcentral. Lineage: Eukaryota; Metazoa; Chordata; Mammalia; Rodentia; Sciuridae.